This 280-nucleotide long non-coding RNA is filed under the name Mytilus galloprovincialis (Mediterranean mussel). The record is from RNAcentral. Lineage: Eukaryota; Metazoa; Mollusca; Bivalvia; Mytilida; Mytilidae.
GACUGGACAACAGUGAAAUAAAUUUCAUUUUAAAUUGAAUUGUUAUUCUAAUUUGUAUUUAGUAGGGAUUUAUAAAGUAACUUGAUUUAUUAUUUAUUCCAUAUAGUAUAUUUAUUCAGUUAUAUACAGUCCAAGUGUACCUCUCGAGACGGUCUUCCGAGCAUUUGGGUUUGGACACAGGUUUCCAAAAUUUUCCACUUUAUUUAAAAUGUAGUCUUUUGACUGCAGUUUAAAUGGAGUUUGAACCGAGGUAACUCGUUUUUGUUGGUUUUUCCUGGCC